RNAcentral lists this ribosomal RNA (496 nucleotides) under uncultured bacterium. Its description in RNAcentral is "partial 16S ribosomal RNA". It matches the Rfam family "Bacterial small subunit ribosomal RNA", at positions 28 to 506 of the family's 1533-position model. The record is from RNAcentral.
GACGAACGCUGGCGGCGUGCCUAAUACAUGCAAGUUGAGCGCUGAAGGUUGGUACUUGUACCGACUGGAUGAGCAGCGAACGGGUGAGUAACGCGUGGGGAAUCUGCCUUUGAGCGGGGGACAACAUUUGGAAACGAAUGCUAAUACCGCAUAAAAACUUUAAACACAAGUUUUAAGUUUGAAAGAUGCAAUUGCAUCACUCAAAGAUGAUCCCGCGUUGUAUUAGCUAGUUGGUGAGGUAAAGGCCCACCAAGGCGAUGAUACAUAGCCGACCUGAGAGGGUGAUCGGCCACAUUGGGACUGAGACACGGCCCAAACUCCUACGGGAGGCAGCAGUAGGGAAUCUUCGGCAAUGGACGAAAGUCUGACCGAGCAACGCCGCGUGAGUGAAGAAGGUGUUCGGAUCGUAAAACUCUGUUGGUAGAGAAGAACGUUGGUGAGAGUGGAAAGCUCAUCAAGUGACGGUAACUACCCAGAAAGGGACGGCUAACUACGU